AGAGUUUGAUUCUGGCUCAGAAUGAACGUUGGCGGCGUGGAUUAGGCAUGCAAGUCGAAUGCGAACGAACCCGCAAGGGGACAAGUAGCAUGGCGAAAGGGGCAGUAAUACAUAAGCAACCUACCCUCAGGUCUGGGAUAUACGGUGGAAACGCCGGGCAAUACUGGACGCCGUUAUCGGACGACAUCGACCGAUAACGAAAGGUUACGCCUGGGGAGGGACUUAUGACCUAUCAGUUAGUUGGCGGGGUAACGGCCCACCAAGACGACGACGGGUAGAGGGUGUGAGAGCACGACCCUCGCCACUGGCACUGAGACACUGGCCAGACUCCUACGGGAGGCUGCAGUCGAGAAUCUUCGGCAAUGGGCGAAAGCCUGACCGAGCGACGCCGCGUGGAGGAAGAAGGCCCUCGGGUUGUAAACUCCUGUUGGGGGGGCUCAAUCAAUGAGAUAUCCCCUGAGGAAGCACGGGCUAAGUUCGUGCCAGCAGCCGCGGUAAU
RNAcentral lists this ribosomal RNA (499 nucleotides) under uncultured Planctomycetota bacterium. RNAcentral describes it as "bacterial SSU rRNA". It matches the Rfam family "Bacterial small subunit ribosomal RNA", at positions 8 to 524 of the family's 1533-position model. The record is from RNAcentral. Lineage: Bacteria; Pseudomonadati; Planctomycetota.